This is a non-coding RNA of Pelobates cultripes (western spadefoot toad), 858 nucleotides long. Lineage: Eukaryota; Metazoa; Chordata; Amphibia; Anura; Pelobatidae. The record is from the annotation of a GenBank genome assembly.
CCAGAGGAUCAACGACCUCCUCCUUCCACUCCUGUUGCUGUUGUAUCCAUAGUAUACAAGGAUCCAUUCUAUAUCCCUCUCACCACCCCCUCAUUUCGGUGGUAACGCUCAGGAAUGCCGUGGUGUUCUUAAAUAAAUCGAGUACCACUUUGAAACCUCCCCGGCUCCUUUCCUUCUGAUAGAACCAAGAUUGGUUAUCUGAUGAAUCAGUUGAUAGGGAAAGCAUUAACCUGGGCAAAUCCUUUUUUAGGAGAGCAACAAGUCUAUUGCAUAUGAUUAUGCGUAAUUCCUAGCUGAGUUCAAGGUAACUUUUGAGCCAUUAGGUAAGGAAAAGGAUGCGGAAAAAGCCCUCAUGCGCAUAAGACAGGGCAAUAACUCUACUGCGGAUUAUGCCAUUGAGUUUCGUACACUUGCCUCAGAGGUGGAUUGUGGAGAAACCGACCUCGCCACUGGGCAAUGGAGAAGACUGAUUAUCAGCCUCCUGCCAUGUGACUAUGGCCCCUGGGAUGUAUUGCCCUUUAACCCCUUAAGGACACAUGACAUGUGUGACAUGUCAUGAUUCCCUUUUAUUCCAGAAGUUUGGUCCUUAAGGGGUUAAAGACAUGAUUUGGGCAUAAGGGAUUUGUGUUGUGCUGCUGCUGGCCCUUUAAGAACGAUCUAGGGACAUACUGUGGAGUUACUGGGUGGCCACCAUUUCCUGUAUCAGAGGCACAUGGUGAGAACAAUGGAUGAAGCACAUGGUGAGAACAAUGGAUGGCGGCCAUUUUAACUCACAGACACUGUGAGUGCCAUCUCGCCAGUAUUUGGUGCACAGAGACAUCGUGCAGUGGUUUUGGACUAUACAGCAGGGGACACAUU